RNAcentral lists this unclassified non-coding RNA (400 nucleotides) under uncultured fungus. RNAcentral describes it as "sequence contains ITS1". The record is from RNAcentral. Lineage: Eukaryota; Fungi.
GGGACUACCAGGGUUUCUAAUCCUGUUUGCUCCCCACGCUUUCGCACCUGAGCGUCAGUCUUCGUCCAGGGGGCCGCCUUCGCCACCGGUAUUCCUCCAGAUCUCUACGCAUUUCACCGCUACACCUGGAAUUCUACCCCCCUCUACGAGACUCAAGCUUGCCAGUAUCAGAUGCAGUUCCCAGGUUGAGCCCGGGGAUUUCACAUCUGACUUAACAAACCGCCUGCGUGCGCUUUACGCCCAGUAAUUCCGAUUAACGCUUGCACCCUCCGUAUUACCGCGGCUGCUGGCACGGAGUUAGCCGGUGCUUCUUCUGCGGGUAACGUCAAUGAGCAAAGGUAUUAACUUUACUCCCUUCCUCCCCGCUGAAAGUACUUUACAACCCGAAGGCCUUCUUCAU